Molecule: ribosomal RNA, 204 nt
Filed under: Wallemia muriae
Lineage: Eukaryota; Fungi; Basidiomycota; Wallemiomycetes; Wallemiales; Wallemiaceae
Description: 5.8S ribosomal RNA
Rfam family: 5.8S ribosomal RNA (bases 2-154)
About the family: 5.8S ribosomal RNA (5.8S rRNA) is a component of the large subunit of the eukaryotic ribosome. It is transcribed by RNA polymerase I as part of the 45S precursor that also contains 18S and 28S rRNA.
Source: RNAcentral
AAACUUUCAGCAACGGAUCUCUUGGUUCAGGCAUCGAUGAAGAACGCAGCGAAAUGCGAUAAGUAAUGUGAAUUGCAGAUACAGUGAAUCAUCGAAUCUUUGAACGCAAAUGGCACUCUAUGGUAUUCCGUAGAGUACGUCUGUUUGAGCGUCGCGAACAUCUCCAUAAUUAGUUUUUUUAAAUUAAUUAAGGGUUUUGAGGUU